RNAcentral lists this unclassified non-coding RNA (154 nucleotides) under uncultured Sordariomycetes. Its description in RNAcentral is "sequence contains ITS2". The record is from RNAcentral. Lineage: Eukaryota; Fungi; Ascomycota; Sordariomycetes.
CAACCAUCAAGCCCCAGGCUUGUGUUGGGGUUCCUGCGGCUGCUGCAGGCCCUGAAAAAUAGUGGCGGGCUCGCUGUCCACUCCGAGCGCAGUAAUUUAUCUCGCUUUGGACGUGCAGCGGGUGCUUGCCGUUAAACGCGCCUAUUUUACAAAA